This 113-nucleotide small nucleolar RNA is filed under the name Leersia perrieri. RNAcentral describes it as "snoRNA snoR100". It matches the Rfam family "Small nucleolar RNA snoR100". Lineage: Eukaryota; Viridiplantae; Streptophyta; Magnoliopsida; Poales; Poaceae. The record is from Rfam by way of RNAcentral.
UGAGGAAGGAAGCAUGGUAGUGUGCACGGAAAUCACCACAAUGUGGUCUGCAUGUCUGCCUGCAGUGACGCCUUCGGGCUUUGAUCUCGCGGGCCUGGAUUUGACCCACAUUU